AGUUCCUCUUGUAUUGAUUUUAUUUUAUUCUCUCAUAGAGAAGCUUGUAUGCCCUAUGGAGAUAGGUUUGAGGCCGAUCCACGUAUUUAUAUUAUAUUUUUUAUUUUUAUUUCUUCCUGCUACACCAUGUGGUAUCGGAUCCUACACAACAAUUAGUAUCAGAGCAAGAUGGUACCAGAACAUAGGUUACGAUGAUGGUGAUCG
RNAcentral lists this long non-coding RNA (204 nucleotides) under Elaeis guineensis (African oil palm). Its description in RNAcentral is "long non-coding RNA (EGUI_LNC036574)". The record is from RNAcentral. Lineage: Eukaryota; Viridiplantae; Streptophyta; Magnoliopsida; Arecales; Arecaceae.